CAAUAGCGUAUAUUAAAGUUGUUGCAGUUAAAAAGCUCGUAGUUGGAUUUCUGGUAGGAGUGACCGUUCCGAACUUGAUUGUUCGUGUAUUGUGUUUUCUCCAGCCAUCCUUGUGGAGAACUUUUCUUGCAUUAAUUUGUAGGGAUUGGGACCCGCAUCGUUUACUGUGAAAAAAUUAGAGUGUUUAAAGCAGGCAAUCGCUUGAAUACAUUAGCAUGGAAUAAUAAGGUAGGACUUUGGUACUAUUUUGUUGGUUUGCAUACCAAAUUAAUGAUCAACAGGAACAGUUUGAGGAUAUUCGUAUGAACAUGUCAGAGGUGAAAUUCUUGGAUUUUGAUCAGACGAUCUACUGCGAAAGCAUUUAUCAAGGAUGUUUUCAUUAA
Molecule: ribosomal RNA, 383 nt
Filed under: uncultured eukaryote
Lineage: Eukaryota
Description: partial 18S ribosomal RNA
Rfam family: Eukaryotic small subunit ribosomal RNA
Source: RNAcentral